AAGGAUUAAGGAGCCAAACAUGCUAUGAUCCUUGAGGCAAUGCACUUAUGCAAUAACAUGAUGCCAUGAGGGAUCUUAGGAUCAAAGUUAGGGUCUUACAUUUAUAUAAUUGGAAGGAUUACACUGAGUAAAAUUUCAAAAACCAAAUGAAAAUACAAGAGAGAAUGAGACUAGUCAUCUUAAGGAUCCCUAACAACAAUGUCAAAAGAUCUGGCUGCAGGCGCGUAGUUCCUUCGAAUGUGUCCAAUCUCAGUCUCAAAAGAAGCCUUCAUCUGAGUCUUCUCGAGGACAAGCUGAUCAACAAUCUUCUUCCAAGCAACGAAAGGCUGAGGUCAAUAAGUGCAUCUUUGUCCUUAGACUCAAGCCGCAACUCCUCAUGCUUUCUUCUCAAAGAAUGGAAAUGCUCUUCCCACAUAUCCUUUUCUUGUUUCAUCUUGACGAGUGUGUCUUCCAACUCCUCUAUGAUGAAUAUUGUAGGAGAUAGGGUCUAGGGAGACCCAAUUUUGAUCAGAUGAAUUCAUAUGGCCAACCACCAUCAACCAACUUGUUAACUUACAAUUAUCUUGACUUUUUAGACUCAUGGUAAAUCAUAUAUGAAUAAGAUGAUGAGAUUUGAAGUGUCCCUUGAAGUAUUUGAUCAAUUGGUGAAGAAGCUUGUUGAAGAAGUUACUCAAGAUAUCCAGAUGAACUAGGGUUUCCAAUGCAAACCAACUCCAAACUCUUGAAGAAAUCUUGAUCAAAAUAACAUGUAGAGAUAAUUGGGACUCAUAUAUGAUGCUUAGAGCCAUUUUGGAUCAUCCCUUGGUUGAGCUCUUAGCAAUGAGGGUCUUAAACCCUAGAUGUGAAUUUGAUAAAUCAAAGGUGAUCAUGUGUCCUACCUACAAAAGAGUUAGACAAAUGCAAAGACAUAUAUUUUUUUUUUGUAUUUUGGUUAGUAAAAUGAUAAUGUACAAGUAUGAUACGAUCACAUGGUGCUUGGUGAUCUUUCCCAAAACAAACCCAAUGAAUAAGGGGUUAGGAGGAUGCCAUGGUAUGAUCCCAAUGUCAAUGCAUAUAAUGAGAUUGCACGAGGGAUCUUAGGGUCAAAAUUGAGGUCUUACAUCGGAAAAGUGAGAAUAGAAUAUAAAAGGAUUAGAUAUAAAAAAAAUAAAAUGGUAAAAAAUAAUAAAAAUAAAUAGUAAGUGAGUUGCACAAGGAUCAAACCUGCAACCUAGAAAAAGCAUCAAAUGCUUCUACCGCUAGGCCAUGGAUAAUUAAUUGUUAAUGUAACGCCGAGCAAUAAUAUAUAAUAGAUAAAAUGACGCUGAUGUAAUAUAAAAAUAAAAUCCAAGUAAAGCAGUAGUAGUAUGCUUUUUGAAUCUAUCUUCUUCCUCAUAUAUCUAAUAUUACAAACUCAAACUAUAGUACUAAAUACUAGUAAUAAAACACUAUAAUAGUAAGCAUAUUACCAAUUUAACAUUAUAUUAUUAGAUACUAGUACUAAAACAUUAUACCAGUAAGUAUCUUCCAAACUUAAUAUUAUAAUGAGAUUAAUUACUAUACACUGUCGGUGUAAAAAAUUUUACACCGUCGAUUCAUCACCAUCAUCCGUUUGUAUUAUUUUAUAGAUUUUUAAAAUAAAAGUCAAACUUCUUUUAAUAUCCGACGACUAUGAUUAGCUGAUGGUGUAAAAUCUCUUUACACUGUCAGUGUAUUCCAAUUAAACUCUAUUAUAAUAUUAGAAACAAAAAAUUAUAUUAUACUUCUUAUUUGAUGACAGUAGCUCCACAAAUAAACAAAAGUUCUGAAAAACAAAAUUCCAUCACUUGAAUACAAGUAGUAACCUAAUAAGAGAACUACAGUUCAUACGAGAAUUUGACCAAGGCAAUAAUUAUACUCAAAAUUUGAUUCACACGUCUCUCAACAGAGUAACGACGUGGAAAUAAAAGAAACGCAAGGUCAAAUAUCGAUACAUCUCAGACAAAAUGCAAAAAAAAAAAAGAUAUAUUUGUAAAUGCAUUUAGUUGAAAAAUCUCCACAUGAUUCCAAGCAUAAACUGAGUCCAAAGCUAACAGCUCAAUAACCAUACGAAUAAACACACGCAUGAAAAAAAGAGAAGUUCACAUACAAAUCAAGACAUGGAAUACACGAGAAAACAUUAACCUUACCAACGUGAUGCAGAUCAAUUUCUUGUUGAAAAAAAACAAAAUAAAGCGGCGGAGAUGUUAGGUGAGGUUAUGGUUGUGUUGAGAGGUGAUUGUGUUUAGGUGAUGCAAAGGUGUGGAGGUUGAAGGAGGGUAAAGGUGAAGUUAAAGAAAAGGAUACUGAAAGGUAAGUCUGGUAUCCUUCUUCUGAAAUUUAGAUAAAUUAUUUGGGGAGUUUUUCCUUUGAGAAUGCAGGGACAAAAAAUGAUGUGAAGGAGGAAGUUCAGUUUUUUUUUCAAAAUAAAAUCUCCAUUUUCAGCUUAAAGAGCAACCAAAGAAAAUUGUGCUAGCUGUCCCUUUUUUGUGGUCCUUAAAAAGAACAGUUACAUGCUCUAGUGAGUGGAUCCACUCCUUUCUUGCUAGUUGUCAUUUGAUAGAGGAACUUUUGAAAAGGAUGCAGCUGGCCAUAUUUGAUUUGGGUAAAAAAAAACAAUGGGAUCCAAAGUUUUUAUAUCAUUAUACUUUAUUAAUUUUUUUGAAUAUAUUAAAAACAUAUUUAUUAAUUAAUUAA
Molecule: long non-coding RNA, 2694 nt
Filed under: Lathyrus oleraceus (garden pea)
Lineage: Eukaryota; Viridiplantae; Streptophyta; Magnoliopsida; Fabales; Fabaceae
Description: Pisum sativum (pea) long non-coding RNA (PSAT_LNC022097)
Source: RNAcentral